GGAAUCUUCCACAAUGGACGAAAGUCUGAUGGAGCAACGCCGCGUGAGUGAUGAAGGUUUUCGGAUCGUAAAACUCUGUUGUAAGGGAAGAACAAGUACGAGAGGCAAUGCUCGUACCUUGACGGUACCUUGCGAGAAAGCCACGGCUAACUACGUGCCAGCAGCCGCGGUAAUACGUAGGUGGCAAGCGUUGUCCGGAAUUAUUGGGCGUAAAGCGCGCGCAGGCGGCCUUUUAAGUCUGAUGUGAAAGCCCCCGGCUCAACCGGGGAGGGUCAUUGGAAACUGGAAGGCUUGAGUACAGAAGAGAAGAGUGGAAUUCCAUGUGUAGCGGUGAAAUGCGUAGAGAUGUGGAGGAACACCAGUGGCGAAGGCGACUCUUUGGUCUGUAACUGACGCUGAGGCGCGAAAGCGUGGGGAGCAAACAGGAUUAGAUACCCUUG
Molecule: ribosomal RNA, 440 nt
Filed under: uncultured Exiguobacterium sp.
Lineage: Bacteria; Bacillati; Bacillota; Bacilli; Caryophanales
Description: bacterial SSU rRNA
Rfam family: Bacterial small subunit ribosomal RNA
Source: RNAcentral